GCGGACGGGUGAGUAGAACAUCGGAACGUAUCCAGUUGAGGGGGAUAACCUGGCGAAAGUUAGGCUAAUACCGCGUAAGCUUGAGAAAGGAAAGCAGGGGAUCGAAAGACCUUGCGCGAUUGGAGCGGCUGAUGACUGAUUAGCUAGUUGGUGGGGUAAAGGCCUACCAAGGCGACGAUCGGUAGCUGGUCUGAGAGGAUGGUCAGCCACACUGGGAAUGAGAGACGGCCCAGACUCCUACGGGAGGCAGCAGUGGGGAAUUUUGGACAAUGGGCGGAAGCCUGAUCCAGCAAUGCCGCGUGGGUGAAGAAGGCCUUAGGGUUGUAAAGCCCUUUCAGCGGGGAAGAAAAGGUAUUUGCGAAUAGUGGAUAUUAAUGACGGUACCCGCAAAAGAAGCACCGGCAAACUACGUGCCAGCAGCCGCGGUAACACGUAGGGUGCGAGCGUUAAUCGGAAUUAUUGGGCGUAAAGAGUGCGCAGGCGGAUAUGUAAGUCAGGUGUGAAAUUCCUGGGCUCAACUUGGGGACAGCACAUGAAACUACAAAUCUAGAGUGGGGCAGAGGGAGGUGGAAUUCCACGUGUAGCAGUGAAAUGCGUAGAGAUGUGGAGGAACACCGAUGGCGAAGGCAGCCUCCUGGGCCAGCACUGACGCUCAUGUACGAAAGCGUGGGUAGCAAACAGGAUUAGAUACCCUGGUAGUCCACGCCCUAAACGAUGUCGACUAGUUGUUGGGGGAGUAAUCCUUCAGUAACGUAGCUAACGCGAGAAGUCGACCGCCUGGGGAGUACGAUCGCAAGAUUAAAACUCAAAGGAAUUGACGGGGACCCGCACAAGCGGUGGAUGAUGUGGAUUAAUUCGAUGCAACGCGAA
This 870-nucleotide ribosomal RNA is filed under the name Candidatus Ichthyocystis sp. (ex Trachinotus ovatus). RNAcentral's name for it is "bacterial SSU rRNA". It matches the Rfam family "Bacterial small subunit ribosomal RNA", at positions 98 to 965 of the family's 1533-position model. Lineage: Bacteria; Pseudomonadati; Pseudomonadota; Betaproteobacteria; Burkholderiales. The record is from RNAcentral.